UACGUAGUGUGCAAGCGUUGUCCGGAAUUAUUGGGCGUAAAGAGCUCGUAGGCGGUUUGUCGCGUCUGCUGUGAAAAUCCAGGGCUUAACCCUGGACCUGCAGUGGGUACGGGCAGACUAGAGUGCGGUAGGGGAGAUCGGAAUUCCUGGUGUAGCGGUGAAAUGCGCAGAUAUCAGGAGGAACACCGGUGGCGAAGGCGGAUCUCUGGGCCGUAACUGACGCUGAGGAGCGAAAGCAUGGGGAGCGAACAGG
RNAcentral lists this ribosomal RNA (253 nucleotides) under uncultured bacterium. RNAcentral describes it as "partial 16S ribosomal RNA". It matches the Rfam family "Bacterial small subunit ribosomal RNA", at positions 524 to 776 of the family's 1533-position model. The record is from RNAcentral.